This 138-nucleotide unclassified non-coding RNA is filed under the name soil metagenome. Its description in RNAcentral is "partial internal transcribed spacer 1". The record is from RNAcentral.
CCUAGAGUUGUAGGCUUUGCCUGCUAUCUCUUACCCAUGUCUUUUGAGUACCUUCGUUUCCUCGGCGGGUCCGCCCGCCGAUUGGACAAUUUAAACCAUUUGCAGUUGCAAUCUGCGUCUGAAAAAACUUAAUAGUUA